Molecule: non-coding RNA, 4858 nt
Organism: Equus caballus (horse)
Lineage: Eukaryota; Metazoa; Chordata; Mammalia; Perissodactyla; Equidae
Source: RefSeq, a predicted model, not a curated record
AUUGCUGUUAUAGAAGGUAAUGUGUCUUACAUUUUACAGCUUAGCCUGCCCUCUCCCUACAGAUAUGUCCUCUUCCCUCUAGCUCUGCUGUAUGUGUAUGUCAGAUAGAUUAGAGGCCUGAGUGACCUGUGCCUUAGUCCCUGUUCCCUAAUUCCUCAACUUCCUGUCCAGCCUCCUUUGCGCUGAACAUACCUAGUGGUCACUAGACUUGCUGAUGCGGCAGAGGCCCCAGUCACCUCACGCCACCUCACACCAGCGCAAGGAGGCAGUCCCAGAAGGCUGAAACAGGAGAGACAUGCUCCACCAAAGGGUUUGCCUGAGUCUGGGUUAUUUGGAAUCUUUUUGUAGUAACUAAAAGCUUACCCCUUAGCACAGUGGCCUAAUCAUGUGUCCUUAGAGACUCUGUAUGUUGUCCUUGGUUCCUAUUACAGCUUCUCCUUCUUGGAGGUGAAGUUGAGCAGGGACAUCUUAAACAUCAGUAAAGUGGGCUUCUUGUAGAAUCUGAUGAAAGUUGUGGAUUCUUUUCCCAGAAAAAAUGCGCAGACAUUGAUUCACAGAAAAUUUCUCUAGAAACAAGAAGGGAGAUUAUCGGAAAUCAAAAACAUUCUUAAGAAUUAUUUUAUUUGUCAUAAUGCCAGAAGUUCCCAAGGGAAUACUUCUCUGGUUUUACAAAGUCAGAAAGAAAAAAAUUUUUGAUAUUUUCUUAAAGUUAACUUUUCAGAAAUGAAUCUGUUCCAUAGAAUAAAGCCCACAGAUCCAUUUUAAGGUACUUCUAAAAUGUUUUAUUUUAACCAAAUGAUAUACUGCAUAUGUUUUUAAUUUUUGAAAGUAUUUAGAUACCAAAGUUCUUAUAAUUCAAUUUUAAUUUUUUAUUAUAUUAAGAAUUUCACUUGUAUAAGUCCUCCAUUUAAGUACCAUAUGAUUUCAUUUUUUCUUGUCUUUGUAGUAUAUUCACUGCCUUCAAAGAAGCUAGUGGCUCUUCAAUUAAGAUCCAUUUUUAUUAAUUAUAAAUCAAAGCCAUUCUGUGAAAAACUACUUUCCUGGGUGAAAAGUAGUAACUGUGCCAAAGUUAUUGUUCUUUCAAGCAGUCAUUCCUAUCACCGUAAUGAUCUACAGCUUUGCAGACAUUGGACAACAAGCAGCGCACAACUGUGGUCCCUGAGAGAAGGCAGGUAAAGUCAUGCAUCCUGGAGAUGCUUUCUGGACUGCAACCCAGGGAAGGGAGGGCACACAGGCAGAGCAUGGUGGCCUUGCUCAGUUGAGGAGAUGUGAUCAGAGUUCAGGAAGGCUGAGACCACUGGAAAGUACAAGGCAGACAACCAGAGAUGGGAGCUGCUUGGAAGAGCUCUAGGAGUCUCUCUGAGUCUUUUUCUGAAUUCUAAGCCACAUGUGUGUAGGGUGAAACUCUCUGAGGCCAAAGAACACCUUCUGGGUAACUGUAACUUGCCCACAAAGUUAGCAACAAUAACAGAAAAUAUUAUGAAAUAGACAUAUUAUAGAACAUUUGGAAAAUGUAGAAUAGUCAAAAGAAACAAUAUUUAAAAUACUCAAUUCCAUCACCCAGAAAUAACUACCACUACCAACUUUUUUAUCUGUUUUCUUCCCAAUUUCUUUGAAAUACAGUUAAAUUGAAUGUAUGUAUCUGCAAGAUACUGCAACUCUAAUAUUUGCAACUUUGGAGUUCAUCCUAGUCAAAGAUGUUUCUCACAAUCUAUGUUAUUUUCCUUUUUUUAACGCAAAUCUUGUAUUCAUCCAUAACCAGACCCAUGUUUAAUGUUCAAUGUAAUUAUACAUUCAUCACAAUAAAGAAUUUUUGAAAUUGAAAAAAACAACCCUUAUCAUACAGCUUAUACAAUUUUGAAUCCUUUUUUCUCCCCGAUGCAUAUCAUGAUUAUUUGCUAAAUUUUUUCUAAUAUACAUAUUUUGCCUUCCCACUAUUAGAAGAAAUAUGUAUUCUCAUCUCUGAAAAAGAUAAUAUUAGUUACUCCAAAAUAAGUGGUGGCAAUGGUGUGGCUGAUCUGGGAUCCCUUAUAUUUAAUUGGAAUAGAAGUACUUUGUAAUUUAAUAAUGGAUAUAUCACGUGCUAAAUUUUAAUGUCACAGAAAGUACUUAAAUUAGUCAUCCUCCACCUUCCUUUUUUACAGAGAGGACCAGAGAAUGGUAUUAAAACUGUUACUCUGUGUGACAGUAGUAGUAGUAGAGGCACCGUGAGUUCAAGACCAUACCCCUGGCUUUUGAAGCGGGAGCCUUUAACGUGAAGGCACAGCCAGGGCAGCAGCCUUCCCCACACGGCAGCCAUUGCUAAGGCUGUCAUAGCGUGAGUGUUUAGGAACUAGAAUCUGAGCCAUCACAGCUCCCAGUGCCUACAUACAAAGCUUGAGAGCCCCUCAGUUAUUUGAAAACUAUGUACUGAGAUGGUAUAAUUACUGCUAACAACUUCCAGUUUCUCAUUUUUAGAGACUCAGAUGCUGUGGUAGACUCUCGCGGUACAUCUGAGACUGCUGAACCCAGGGUCAGAGUCUCUGCCACUUGGGACCCCAACUCCCCUUUAUUUCUGUCCAUCAUGUGGUCUCAUGUUUUGGCCUUAGGAUUUUCUCAUAGUUCUUGGUUUUGGGUGUUAGAGAUGAUUUUUGCUUUUUCUUAGCAGACAGGAAGCUUUUUGCGUUGCUGUAUCUCCAUCUCAUCACUAGCUUGAGGCCUUCAGAGCAAAACAUUUAGGAGAUUGUUUUCAAGACACAAAGACCUAAGUUCAAAUCCCACCUCUGCCACUUCCUGGAUAUAGAACUGGGAUCUUGUUACCAUGUUUUGGUCCCUUUAAAUCUCAGUUGCCUCGCAGUGAUAGCAAACACUUCCACAGCAUUGACUGUGUGUUCAGCACUGGUCUGAGCACUUUGCCCCCAUUACCUCCUUUACACCCCUCAGCAGCCUGCAAGGUUGGGUCUACCGUGAUCGCCCUUUUACAGUGAGGAACACUAAAGCCCUCAGUAAGUAACUUGCCCAACAUAUCUGGUAAGUGCAGAGCUGGAAUUUGCAUCCACGUAUUCUGUCCUUGUUCCCAUUGUUUCAAACUGAUUCAUUUAUAAAAUGGAGAUAAUUAUAACUUCCUCAAGGAUCAUUGAGGGAUUGAAUUGUAAAAUAUACAGACAGUGCUAGCACAUAAUAAUCACUCAGUCAAUGGAAUCUGUAAGAAGUAGUGGUAACUUACUUUCCCUGUAACUGUUCUGUUGUAUUCCACGGUCUUCCUUUGCUGCUUUAGAUUAUUGAUAACAAGGGUUUUUUCCUUCAGUCUCUUUGCUGCAGGGCUUCUGAAAAUCACUGUCUUCUACAGUAGCUUUUGGGAGUGGAUCAGAACGUACCUCAUGUGAUAUAGCCAGGGAUAUGCCUAGAGUGGGCCUUACAUGGCUCCUAGUCCUGACCCCACCAAUAGAAGAAUAUAUCUGGGGCAAGGGGAGAUAAAUAAGUGACCUUAUGAUGUGGCAUCUUCUCCUUGCCUACAACCUGGCAGAUCAUCUUAGCUAUAAACUGACUUACUGGAAUCAGUAUCAGUAGAAGAAUACUUAAUUAUUCUUUUUAUUUGUUGUAGCCGUUCUAAAGAAAUCCCACUGGCAGUCCUGCUGAAAUUUGUUUCCAAAGGAGACAAUAUCCCAGAUGCAUUGGGUCUUGUUGAGCAUCUUAAUGAAUGGCUUCAGAUAAUCAAACCCCGUGUAAGUUUUACUACAGUUUAAGCCUCUGCCUUCUCUGGUUGUGUAUUCAUAAACUUGCAUUUUAUAUACUAUAUAAGUAGACCAAAUAAGUGAAAGUUUACGUUAAAUAUAGACGUAACUUUAUAUAAGGUUUAGUUUAGCUGAAGUUUGGAAAAGGAAAGAGGGCAGUUAACCAACUUGUUGUCUACAGCCCUCAUUAAGGCUGGUUUUCCAAAAAAAGAAAAUCUGAAGUACUUCAUUGUAUUCACUGUCUGUGUUUUGUUAAUUAUACCCGACAGCUUCUUACAAGAGUAAACAAGUCCUGUUUGACAUUCAGGACUUUUUUGGGGGGUGGAAAGCACAAGGUAUUACUCUGUGAGCAAUACAGAGUUAUUGAAUAUGCAUUAUAAUUAAAGUGUUUUUCGCUAUUAUGAAAUAAGAGUGUUAAACCCAGAGUAAUCAAGUAGCCUUUAGGCAUAACAGGUACCGUAAGGCUGCUUUGUAUGGUAGGUAUCUUGUCUUUUUAAUUUGUGCUUUUGCCAGGAACAAUUGAUAGAAAUGACACAGUACUCACAUUUUUUUUUAACACCUGUUUCUUUUGAAUUUGAUUUUUCUUGAUGGACUCCAUCCACAGCCUUUCUGGCAUAUCUUUAUCAUUUGGAACUUGAGGAAAUUUAUCUUCAGUUAACAUAAAGAUAGAGAUUUAUUACUUUGUUUUUCCUUACAAUAGAACCCAGCUUUUUCAAAAACAAAAGGGUCAAAAAAAACUAGAGAUGGCAGAGUUUUGUAAUACUUACAUGUUAAAAGGAUAUUUGGUGGUAAAGUUGAAGGAGUAAAGUAUUUUGUUCCUCAAUUACAGUGCAAUGACCCCACAGCAUCUGCCUUGCUGUGGAAAAUACCAAGUUCUUGGAGAUUACUCUCUGGCAGUAGCCUUUCCCCUGUGCUUUUUUGAUCUGUUCUCAGUUUUAUACUCUAUGUACCAAGAUCCUUUUUACCAACCCAACUGUUGAACAACUGUAUAAAAAGUUGUAUCAUCUGAGAAUAUAUUAGGAAGUAAAUCUUUACUUUUCACAGAAAAUCUCAAAGAAAAAUGGAUUAACCAAAGGUUGGUUUUGGUAUACUUUUCAUCAUAUACAACAAAUGUAAAUUUGUACAAUAAAAUAUUUUCUAAGUAA